This 496-nucleotide ribosomal RNA is filed under the name uncultured bacterium. Its description in RNAcentral is "partial 16S ribosomal RNA". It matches the Rfam family "Bacterial small subunit ribosomal RNA", at positions 29 to 507 of the family's 1533-position model. The record is from RNAcentral.
AUGAACGCUGGCGGCGUGCCUCAUCCAUGCAAGUCGAGCGAACGGACGAGAAGCUUGCCUCUCUGAUGUUAGCGGCGGACGGGUGAGUAACACGUGGAUAACCUACCUAUAAGACUGGGAUAACUUCGGGAAACCGGAGCUAAUACCGGAUAAUAUUUUGAACCGCAUGGUUCAAAAGUGAAAGACGGUCUUGCUGUCACUUAUAGAUGGAUCCGCGCUGCAUUAGCUAGUUGGUAAGGUAACGGCUUACCAAGGCAACGAUGCAUAGCCGACCUGAGAGGGUGAUCGGCCACACUGGAACUGAGACACGGUCCAGACUCCUACGGGAGGCAGCAGUAGGGAAUCUUCCGCAAUGGGCGAAAGCCUGACGGAGCAACGCCGCGUGAGUGAUGAAGGUCUUCGGAUCGUAAAACUCUGUUAUUAGGGAAGAACAUAUGUGUAAGUAACUGUGCACAUCUUGACGGUACCUAAUCAGAAAGCCACGGCUAACUACGUG